Long non-coding RNA from Bactrocera tryoni, 593 nucleotides. RefSeq lists it as uncharacterized. The transcript has 2 exons. The record is from RefSeq and is a predicted model, not a curated record. Lineage: Eukaryota; Metazoa; Arthropoda; Insecta; Diptera; Tephritidae.
UAGUAAAUCCGACGAGCUUUUAAAUUUAUUUGAAGAGUUUUGUAUAUUUGGAAUGCAUUUCUUUCUACUGCGUUAAUUUAAUUUAUAUACCUUCCUAGUAGCAUAAAAUUGAACGUAAACAUAAAAAUUAAUAAACUCGAGGAAUAUUCGUAUAAUGAAAAUAUAAAAUAUGUAUUAAGAUCGGUUUCUCCAGCUUAGUUUGCAAUCUUCGUAUGUAUCAUUUUGAACGGAACUAGAAAUAAGUCCUUAUUAACAAACUCAGCGUACUAUUGACUUUCGACAGUGCUGUUUUGUUGUGAAAUUGUUAUAAUACAUCUGGGCUGUAGGGCGGCUGCGGAAGCGUAGAGAUGCCGGCUUUGGUUAAGAAUAACACAACACCAGAAUGAACCGCAAUAGCAGAUUGGUUCAUCCUUAGCAGAGCGAGACAGUUUUCUAAAGGUUUAACGUUACGUAUUGUGCAAUCAUGGAAUAAAAAUUAACCAUUUCUUUCCUAUGUAUUUCUUGUUUGUAAAUUUCAGUAAAUUUGUUAAACGUGCGCUUUUAUGCUUCGUUAACGCCUCAUACAUUUUGAUAAUAAAAGAAGUUCAAAAUAA